Molecule: non-coding RNA, 133 nt
Organism: Perognathus longimembris pacificus (Pacific pocket mouse)
Lineage: Eukaryota; Metazoa; Chordata; Mammalia; Rodentia; Heteromyidae
Product: small Cajal body-specific RNA 23
Exons: 1
Source: RefSeq, a predicted model, not a curated record
UGGCUCACCAGGGCCUGGCCCUCUCCUUGUGGUGCUGACCUGUCCCUCUAUGAGCAAGAGUAUCAGGACUGGCUCGGGGGGUGGUGUCCUGCCUGAGCGGAAGUGGUGACACCCAAUGGUUUUCAGAACAUAA